RNAcentral lists this ribosomal RNA (801 nucleotides) under uncultured Rubrobacter sp. RNAcentral's name for it is "bacterial SSU rRNA". It matches the Rfam family "Bacterial small subunit ribosomal RNA", at positions 8 to 796 of the family's 1533-position model. Lineage: Bacteria; Bacillati; Actinomycetota; Rubrobacteria; Rubrobacterales; Rubrobacteraceae. The record is from RNAcentral.
AGAGUUUGAUCAUGGCUCAGGACGAACGCUGACGGUGUGCUUUAGACAUGCAAGUCGAACGAGAAAGCCCUUCGGGGUGAGUACAGUGGCGAACGGGUGAGUAACACGUGGGUAACCUGCCCCUCGCAGGGGGACAACCGGGGGAAACCCCGGCUAAUACCCCGUACGCUCCGAGGUCCGCAUGGUCCUCGGAGGAAAGGUAGCUUCGGCCAUCCGGCGAGGGAUGGGCCCGCGGUCCAUUAGCUAGUUGGUGGGGUAACGGCUCACCAAGGCGACGAUGGAUAGCUGGUCUGAGAGGAUGAUCAGCCACACUGGGACUGAGACACGGCCCAGACUCCUACGGGAGGCAGCAGUCGGGAAUCUUGCGCAAUGGGCGAAAGCCUGACGCAGCAACACCGUGUGGGCGACGAAGGCCCUCGGGUCGUAAAGCCCUGUUGUUGGGGACGAAGGGCGAAGGGUUAAUAGCCCCUAGCCUGACGGUACCCUUCGAGGAAGCCCCGGCUAACUACGUGCCAGCAGCCGCGGUAAUACGUGGGGGGCGAGCGUUGUCCGGAAUUAUUGGGCGUAAAGAGCGUGUAGGCGGCUUGGUAAGUCUGCCGUGAAAACCCGGGGCUCAACCCCGGGCGUGCGGUGGAUACUGCCAGGCUAGAGGAUGGUAGAGGCGAGUGGAAUUCCCGGUGUAGCGGUGAAAUGCGCAGAUAUCGGGAGGAACACCAGUAGCGAAGGCGGCUCGCUGGGCCGUUCCUGACGCUGAGACGCGAAAGCUAGGGGAGCGAACAGGAUUAGAUACCCCCGUAGUCC